Molecule: ribosomal RNA, 482 nt
Filed under: uncultured bacterium
Lineage: Bacteria
Description: partial 16S ribosomal RNA
Rfam family: Bacterial small subunit ribosomal RNA
Source: RNAcentral
UGAACGCUGGCGGCAUGCUUUACACAUGCACGUCGCACGGCAGCGCGGGCUUCGGCCUGGCGGCGAGUGGCGAACGGGUGAGUAAUACAUCGGAACGUGCCCAGUAGUGGGGGCUAGCUCGGCGAAAGCCGGAUUAAUACCGCAUACGACCUGAGGGUGAAAGCGGGGGAUCUUCGGACCUCGCGCUAUUGGAGCGGCCGAUGGCAGAUUAGCUAGUUGGUGGGGUAAAGGCCUACCAAGGCGACGAUCUGUAGCUGGUCUGAGAGGACGACCAGCCACACUGGGACUGAGACACGGCCCAGACUCCUACGGGAGGCAGCAGUGGGGAAUUUUGGACAAUGGGCGAAAGCCUGAUCCAGCAAUGCCGCGUGUGUGAUGAAGGCCUUCGGGUUGUAAAGCACUUUUGGCGGGAACGAAAAGGACUGUGCCAAUACCACGGUUCGAUGACGGUACCCGCAGAAUAAGCACCGGCUAACUACGUG